CCUACGGGUGGCAGCAGUGGGGAAUAUUGCACAAUGGGCGCAAGCCUGAUGCAGCCAUGCCGCGUGUAUGAAGAAGGCCCUCGGGUUGUAAAGUACUUUCAGCGGGGAGGUAGGUGCUGUGGCUAAUAACCGCAGCAAUUGACGUUACCCGCAGAAGAAGCACCGGCUAACGCCGUGCCAGCAGCCGCGGUAAUACGGAGGGUGCAAGCGUGAAUCGGAAUUACUGGGCGUAAAGCGCACGCAGGCGGUAUGUUAAGUCAGAUGUGAAAUCCCCGGGCUCCACCUGGGAACUGCAGCUGAGACUGGCAGGCUUGAGUCUCGUAGAGGGGGGUAGAAUUCCAGGUGUAGCGGUGAAAUGCGUAGAGAUCUGGAGGAAUACCGGUGGCGAAGGCGGCCCCCUGGACGAAGACUGACGCUCAGGUGCGAAAGCGUGGGGAGCAAACAGGAUUAGAUACCCCUGUAGUC
This 465-nucleotide ribosomal RNA is filed under the name uncultured bacterium. Its description in RNAcentral is "partial 16S ribosomal RNA". It matches the Rfam family "Bacterial small subunit ribosomal RNA", at positions 338 to 795 of the family's 1533-position model. The record is from RNAcentral.